Lepus europaeus (European hare) is the source of this 1135-nucleotide long non-coding RNA. RefSeq lists it as uncharacterized. NCBI's taxonomy places the organism in Eukaryota, Metazoa, Chordata, Mammalia, Lagomorpha, Leporidae. The transcript is spliced from 2 exons. The record is from RefSeq and is a predicted model, not a curated record.
CUGAGCUGUCCCUUGGCCCUGGGAAGACAAGCAGUUCUUUCACACACAACAGGAAAAGGUACAAGAGUGUCUGUCUUUUUCUCUCAAAGGGAGUUCGAGCCAGUAGCAGGUCCAUGCACUGUGCAUGGUGCCCUCUUGGAACCAUCAUAGAUGGCAGUCUGGAGGGUGAUCUUUGUAUGACUCUGUACUGAAGCCAGGCCGUGCCUGAAGGACGGACAGAGCAGAGGCCACGAGUGCAGGGCAGGCGGAAGGUCCCCAGGCAGACACGUGUCCAUCAAGGUGUGUCUCGGUUUCUCCGGAUGUUGGAUCUGGAACCGCCAGUCUCGGGGUGUGUCCCGUGGGGAGCUGCCCAGCUGGUGUGUGAGGUUAUUGGCUGGGGGUAAGAACACUGCUAGAGAAGGAAAUUCUUUCACCAGCCGCAGAGGCAGCUCGACCUGGAGGUGGGUGGAGCUUUUUGCUGACAUGGAGGCCCCCAUGUCUGCCCAGUGGAGCAGAGGGUGAGCCCCGUCUUCUCCUGGCUGUCACGGGAACCAUCCAGGGUAGCUGUUUGUGCUGGAAGGAGGGCACGUGGCUUGUUCCUCUCAGAAGGUCUGUGCGGUGGAGCUGUGAGCACCUCAGAGCCUCCCAAACGCGGGGCGCUUGUCCUUUCUCCUGGAAUUGAGAAGUCAAACCCUGUUCUUUCAACAAUGCCUCAAUGACCAUCUUCAUCUGUUCUUAAAGAAGCCUCACAUCCAGAAACUCCGGGUAAAAUAAAAAUCCUUUGGUUAUAUAUUGAAAACAAAUUUACAUGGGAAAAGGUCCUUAUUUUUCUGUUUGAACUUUCUUAAAUUUCAAGGGCUACCUUUAAAAAUUAUCAAUGACAGGGGCCAGUGCUGUGGCGUGGAGGGUUAAGCCUCUGCCUGCGGCACGGGCAUCCUAAGUUAAUGCGCCUAGGAAAACAGCAGAUGAUGGCCCAAGUCCUUGGGCCCCUGCACCUGUGUGGGAGACCUGGAAGAAGCUCCUGGUUCCUGACUUUGGAUCAGCCCAGCUCUAGCCAAUGCAGCCAUUUGGGGAAUGAACCAGCAGAUGGAAGAUCUCUCUCUCCCUCUCCCUACAACUCUGCCUCUCAAAUGAAGAAAUAAAUCUUUUAAAAUAA